This is a long non-coding RNA of Drosophila albomicans, 501 nucleotides long. RefSeq lists it as uncharacterized. Lineage: Eukaryota; Metazoa; Arthropoda; Insecta; Diptera; Drosophilidae. The record is from RefSeq and is a predicted model, not a curated record. The transcript has 3 exons.
ACAAAAUAAGGGCAAGCAUCGCUUUUGUUUUUGUUAUUUUGUGGAAAGGGCAUACACAAGAUUAAAGACAAAAUUUCGAUUACGCUUUACAUCGCUGUUUGUUUAUGCGUCUUUGUUUUAUUUUGUGCUACUCUUUUGCUCAAACGCAGCUGUGUUUCCUAGAUGAUGAAAUUAUUGCAAGCAUUUGAGUUGAGAAGUGCAAAGCGGAUCCGCGAUCAAUUAUUAGAAACAGAUAAUAAAAGAAUAUCAAGCAGUUAGUAUAAUGCAUAGCUCUAUAGUGGAUAGCGACAAUGUGCUUAAAGAAGAGGAUGUGGAAAUUAUGACAGAAAAUCUACGUUAUGGAAAUAAUGACAGGGGAAUGCGGCCCAAAAAAAGAAGACAAUUUCUUUGGUGUUAUGAUCGAUUCAAUAACUGAGGACCAGUUGAGAAAGGCCUUGCAGCUCCAAAAAAAAAACGAUAUUUUAAAACUCAAGUUGCCUUAAAGUAAUAAAAGUAUCAGAC